AAGUCGUAACAAGGUUUCCGUAGGUGAACCUGCGGAAGGAUCAUUAACGAGUUAGGGUCUUCUCAGGCCCGACCUCCCAACCCUUUGUUUACUGAACCUCUGUUGCUUCGGCGGGCCCGUCUCACGACCGCCGGAGGACCGCCGACAGGUGUCCUCUGGCCCGUGUCCGCCGACAGCCAAGCUCUCAAAACUCUGUAUGAAUCGUGUCCUUUAUCUCUAAGUCUAUGAUUUAAACAAAUCAAAAAGCAAAACUUUCAACAACGGAUCUCUUGGUUCUG
This 278-nucleotide unclassified non-coding RNA is filed under the name Cladophialophora sp. Its description in RNAcentral is "partial internal transcribed spacer region". The stretch from base 1 to 46 matches the Rfam family "Eukaryotic small subunit ribosomal RNA", at positions 1786 to 1831 of the family's 1831-position model. The record is from RNAcentral. Lineage: Eukaryota; Fungi; Ascomycota; Eurotiomycetes; Chaetothyriales; Herpotrichiellaceae.